RNAcentral lists this ribosomal RNA (272 nucleotides) under Escherichia coli. RNAcentral describes it as "partial 16S ribosomal RNA". It matches the Rfam family "Bacterial small subunit ribosomal RNA", at positions 1 to 269 of the family's 1533-position model. Lineage: Bacteria; Pseudomonadati; Pseudomonadota; Gammaproteobacteria; Enterobacterales; Enterobacteriaceae. The record is from RNAcentral.
AAAUUGAAGAGUUUGAUCAUGGCUCAGAUUGAACGCUGGCGGCAGGCCUAACACAUGCAAGUCGAACGGUAACAGGAAACAGCUUGCUGUUUCGCUGACGAGUGGCGGACGGGUGAGUAAUGUCUGGGAAAUUGCCUGAUGGAGGGGGAUAACUACUGGAAACGGUAGCUAAUACCGCAUAACGUCGCAAGACCAAAGAGGGGGACCUUCGGGCCUCUUGCCAUCGGAUGUGCCCAGAUGGGAUUAGCUAGUAGGUGGGGUAACGGCUCACC